GCCUGUUUCCAUAGAAACUGGGUAGGCUGUGCAGUGCAAGAAUCGGAGGGGAGACAGGAGCAGGAAGGAGGGACCAAGCCUUAGGGACAGCCCCCGAUGAAAGGACCGAGAGAAACGGGGAGCUGCCCCAUGCAAACUGAGGGUGGGACCCCGAUUUGGGGAACCAGGCGGGAUGGAGCGUGGAGUGGGGGGAAGAGGUAGCAAAAGCUUGGUAGCUGGCUUUGCUGCCUCCUGAGGAAGGGGCACAGAAUCUCCCCUUCCCUGCCACAGGUAGUGGGGGUUCCUCCCUCCCCACCCCCUUAAAAUCCUUCUUUACCAGGAACUGCCUGAUCCAGAUGAAUCUCUUCUCCGGGGCCCACUAGUCUCUAAGAAAGGGACCAUGGAAUUCCUUUCUUCCCCGAAGAGCUCCCCACUCUCCCUGACCAGAGUCUCCUUGAUCUGGAGGCUGGGCAGCCCCCGGGGACCCGGUGGCCGCCGCUGACCCCGUGGCAUGCGGCUCUCAAAGGCCCCAUUCAUCUCUGGGGGCUGAAGGCGCCAUUGUCCCCAGCGGGGGGUGGUGUGGGGAGUGAAGGGGUCUGGACUCAGAAGGAAGGAAUGCGUCUGGAGAAGUUGCCCCCGGGGCUCCAGUCUCAAGGUCCCCACCAGAUCUCCAUCGGGACCCUUUCACGACCCCGAGCCCUUUCCCCAGGAGCUCCCAGCAACCUUCGCGCUUCUCCGGAGGGUGGGGUCUGCCGCGGCGCGGGGGCAGCCUCACCCCACCUCACUGCUGGACUCCGGAGAACCAUUUCUGGGACCGGGAGCUGUCCAGCGCCUCGGGUCCUGACGGACCGCUGAUUCGCCUAGGUGCCAUCGGACAAGCGGGUGCUCAGAGCCAGCUCUGGUGGCUCGGGAGCUUUCCCCCAACCAGGCUAAGACCACUAAACCACGCCUGGCCCGGAUGAGCUUGGAUGCAGCUCCGAACGUGGGGAUCCAUCGGUGCUGAGAACUGACCUAGGGAGCACCUUGACCCCUGCCCUAUCUGGGCACAAUUGAAGGGCCAAGUGCCACCAGCCCACUUUCCUGGAACCCUGUCUCAGACUUGGGCAGGAAGAAGAGCCAUGAGAGUAGGUCAUGAAAUCCUCAUUCCAGAGAUACCCUCCCUAUACUGAAGAAAAGGGACUUCCUUGUUCUUGAAGGCAGAAGAAUCUGAACAGGACUUGCUAAGUCCCCUACCACCAGUUUAUUACCAUUAGAUCACACCCCUUUUGUCCUAUCAUACUUCUGCAUGAGUGACCACUUCUACUCUUCCUCAAACCUAAGCCUAAAUAAAUACACAAGUUUUCCUGUUUUGGGGGGGUCUUCAUUUCCUUAUGAAGGCUCCUGUGUCAUGUAAACCUUAUAUUAAAUACAUUUGCAUACUUUUCUCUUCUUAAUCUGUUUUUUAUUAUUGGAAUCUUGGCCAUGAACCUAGAAGUGGAUGAGAAAAUAAAUCUUUUCUCUCCAACACAACACUGACUUUUUUUUUCUUUGUUUCUCCAAGGAGUCAGUCAUUUCACAACUAUUUGAGGGCCUAGUUCAGUGCAGGAAAACAGAAACUACUCUAGGU
This 1585-nucleotide long non-coding RNA is filed under the name Homo sapiens (human). Its description in RNAcentral is "HSALNT0095497". Lineage: Eukaryota; Metazoa; Chordata; Mammalia; Primates; Hominidae. The record is from RNAcentral.